Molecule: ribosomal RNA, 406 nt
Filed under: uncultured Thiobacillus sp.
Lineage: Bacteria; Pseudomonadati; Pseudomonadota; Betaproteobacteria; Nitrosomonadales; Thiobacillaceae
Description: bacterial SSU rRNA
Rfam family: Bacterial small subunit ribosomal RNA
Source: RNAcentral
UUACCUACCCUUGACAUGUCCGGAACUUGCCAGAGAUGGCUUGGUGCCCGAAAGGGAAUCGGAACACAGGUGCUGCAUGGCUGUCGUCAGCUCGUGUCGUGAGAUGUUGGGUUAAGUCCCGCAACGAGCGCAACCCUUAUCAUUAGUUGCUACGCAAGGGCACUCUAAUGAGACUGCCGGUGACAACCGGAGGAAGGUGGGGAUGACGUCAAGUCCUCAUGGCCCUUAUGGGUAGGGCUUCACACGUCAUACAAUGGUCGGUACAGAGGGUUGCCAAGCCGCGAGGCGGAGCCAAUCCCACAAAGCCGAUCGUAGUCCGGAUUGUUCUCUGCAACUCGAGAGCAUGAAGUCGGAAUCGCUAGUAAUCGCAGGUCAGCAUACUGCGGUGAAUACGUUCCCGGGUCUU